This 284-nucleotide ribosomal RNA is filed under the name Meiosquilla dawsoni. RNAcentral's name for it is "partial large subunit ribosomal RNA". It matches the Rfam family "Eukaryotic large subunit ribosomal RNA", at positions 89 to 349 of the family's 3401-position model. The record is from RNAcentral. Lineage: Eukaryota; Metazoa; Arthropoda; Malacostraca; Stomatopoda; Squillidae.
GCGACUGAACGGGGAAGAGCCCAGCGCGGAACCUCGCGCGCCUGAACGGCUGCGUCUGAGGAAUGUCGCGUUGCGGAGGGGCCUUCUCCGACCACACCGACCCCCCCCAAGUCCGCUUGAACGCGGCCACUGCCCAUGGAGGGUGCGAGGCCCGUACGGGGAUUAGGAGUCGGGCGGUCGGACGGCCCCGUCCGAAGAGUCGGGUUGCCUAGUAACGCAGCCCAAAGCAGGUGGUAAACUCCAUCUAAGGCUAAAUAUGACCACGAGACCGAUAGCGAACAAGU